Molecule: ribosomal RNA, 253 nt
Filed under: uncultured bacterium
Lineage: Bacteria
Description: partial 16S ribosomal RNA
Rfam family: Bacterial small subunit ribosomal RNA
Source: RNAcentral
UACGAAGGGGGCUAGCGUUGUUCGGAAUUACUGGGCGUAAAGCGCACGUAGGCGGGUUGUUAAGUCAGGGGUGAAAUCCUGGAGCUCAACUCCAGAACUGCCUUUGAUACUGGCAACCUAGAGACUGGAAGAGGUUAGUGGAAUUCCCAGUGUAGAGGUGAAAUUCGUAGAUAUUGGGAAGAACACCAGUGGCGAAGGCGGCUAACUGGACCGGUUCUGACGCUGAGGCGCGAAAGCGUGGGUAGCAAACAGG